Saimiri boliviensis boliviensis (Bolivian squirrel monkey) is the source of this 105-nucleotide small nuclear RNA. NCBI's taxonomy places the organism in Eukaryota, Metazoa, Chordata, Mammalia, Primates, Cebidae. The record is from Ensembl.
GUGCUCACUUCAGCAGCACAUAUAGUAAAAUUGAAACGAUACAGAGAUUAACAUGACCCUUUGCACGAGGAUGACAGAAAAAUUAGUGAAGUGUUCCAUAUUAAA